AUGUUGCUAAUUAUUAUGCCGCACACUGUGGGUAGGGUGCCAAUGAGGGGGCCAUGGCACGGAGAAGGAAUCAUGUUAGAAGCAACGUUGGGACUGCUGUCUAAACACUGCGUGCUCUUGUUCUUCUGCAGGGAGGAAACAGACUGCUCUCUGAGAGGCAGCAUGGAUCCACUCAGCGAAUAUGACACUCACCCUGCCAGGCACUUGUCGAGGUCCUGAGAAUACUAUGAUCAAGAAGGUGAACCGGAAGGACAAGGUUCCAGCUACCAUGGGGUUUAUGGUCUAUGAUAAACCAGUAAACAGACAAACAGAAACAACGAUAACUUCAGCAAGUGAUGUGUAUUCUAAAGAAAAUGAACAGCAGUGUGCCAGAGAGUGCUGACGGGGAGGGCUGGGAUCAUGCUCAGGUAAGAUGAGGGGGCAAGCCUCUGAGAAGCUGGCAUCUGAGACCUGAUUGAAAUGAGAAAGUGACCUAUGGGGAUCUUUAGGGUAAGGGUGUUCCAAGCCAAGAGAAGAGUAAAUGCAAAAGUCCUAGGGCAGGUGCGUGCUUGGUGUGUUCUAGGAACUUUAGAGAGCGCCACCUUAGCUAGAGUGGAGUUAGGCAGGGGCGAAACAGAGUGGUGGGAGUGCAGGGCAGUAGUUAGAAGCUGAAGUCAGUAAGGGGGUGCGGAGUUCUGCAGGAAGAGGAGGUUGCUAAGGAUGACAGGGUCUGAUUUAGAUUUUUUUUUUUAAAGACAUUUUUGGCUGUCUUGUGGAAAGUAGACUAUAAGAGAAGGGGCAAGAUUGGCAACUGUUGCAGGAUUCCAGGCAAGAGAGAGAGCAUAUUGAAAUCUCCAGUAGCUAGAACACACUGUGACACCUAAUUGCCACUCAAUACAUUUGAGAACACAUCCGGGCAGAAGUGAAACUUACAAUCGUAGGCACCUAGUAAAUGCUCGACACAUGCUUCUUUUGUGAAUCAAUGAGCAGAAUCUGGCUUUCUUGUAGUCACUCUAGGGCAUGAGUUCCUCACAAUAUUUUGGAUCUUUUAAAAAGACUUAAUUUGAGAGUCUGGGUGGCUCAGUUGGUUAAGCGGCUGCCUUUGGCCCCAUUCAUGAUCCCAGGAUCCUAGGUAGAGCCCCACAUUGGGCUCCCUGCUCAGCGGGGAGUCUGCGCCCCUCCCUUGCUUGUGCUCUCUCUCUCUCUCUCAAAUAAGUAAAAAUAAAAAUACUUUGAAUCAUCUUAGCUAGCAGUAUUUCAGAGAGGCAAUAUGUCCAUGAGUUCAUUUUUCCUCUGUGACGCUGCAUAAGCUCCUUUGGGAUAGACGCGAGAAAUCAACUCCACUGCUUCUGUGAUGCUCUCAGCCAGAGCACAGAAAUCCCCAAACCCUUUGCUCUCAUCUAGAUUCAGAUCUGGUGUGCUUCUCGAUGCACUGGUCCAUGGCAGGGACCAGACCUGCUUCAUCGCUGCAUCUCCAGAGCUGAUCACAGUCUGGACAAUUGAAUCAACAGAUGGGUAUCAUGUUGAGUAGACUGGGGAGUACUUGGGUGCUUUGGUGGAAUUCCAGGGUUUUCCUGCUCUCUUCCUGGAGAGCCCAGAACCCUCG
Molecule: long non-coding RNA, 1585 nt
Filed under: Canis lupus familiaris (dog)
Lineage: Eukaryota; Metazoa; Chordata; Mammalia; Carnivora; Canidae
Description: lncRNA (ENSCAFG00030025694.1)
Source: RNAcentral